RNAcentral lists this ribosomal RNA (492 nucleotides) under uncultured bacterium. RNAcentral describes it as "partial 16S ribosomal RNA". It matches the Rfam family "Bacterial small subunit ribosomal RNA", at positions 29 to 507 of the family's 1533-position model. The record is from RNAcentral.
AGUGAACGCUGGCGGUAGGCCUAACACAUGCAAGUCGAACGGCAGCACAGUAAGAUUUUGCUCUUACGGGUGGCGAGUGGCGGACGGGUGAGGAAUACAUCGGAAUCUACUUUUUCGUGGGGGAUAACGUAGGGAAACUUACGAUAAUACCGCAUAUGACCUACGGGUGAAAGCAGUGGAUCUUUGGACCUUGCGCGAUUGUAUGAGCCGAUGUCGGAUUAGCUAGUUGGCGGGGUAAAGGCCCACCAAGGCGACGAUCCGUAGCUGGUCUGAGAGGAUGAUCAGCCACACUGGAACUGAGACACGGUCCAGACUCCUACAGGAGGCAGCAGUGGGGAACAUUGGACAAUGGGCACAAGCCUGAUCCAGCCAUACCGCGUGGGUGAAGAAGGCCUUCGGGUUGUAAAGCCCUUUUGUUGGGAAAGAAAAGCAGCAGGUUAAUACCCCGCUGUUCUGACGGUACCCAAAGAAUAAGCACCGGCUAACUUCGUG